UGUUUCCGUGUGAGUUCCGGUUGUUUCCGUGUGAAUUCCGGGUGUUUUUGUGUGAAUUCCGUGUGUUUCCGUGAGUUCCGGCUGUUCCUGGGGUGGUUUCCGGUUGUUUCCGUGAGUUCCGGGUGUUCCUGUGUUGGUUUCUGUGUGAAUUCCGGCUGUUUCCGUGCGAGUUCCGUGUGUUUCUGUGAGUUCCGGCUGUUCCUGGGGUGGUUUCCGUGCGAGUUCCGGUUGUUUCCGUGUGAAUUCCGGUUGUUUCCAUGAGUUCCAGGUGUUUCUGUGGUGGUUUUUGGGUGAAUUCCGGGUGUUUCUGUGUGAAUUCCGGUUGUUUCCGUGUGAGUUUCGGGUGUUCCUGUGGUGGUUUCUGUGUGAAUUCCGGGUAUUUCCGUGUGAGUUCCGGUUGUUUCCGUGUGAGUUCCGGGUGUUUCCGUGUGAGUUCCGGUUGUUUCCGUGUGAGUUCCGGUGGUUUCCGUGUGAGUUCCGGUUGUUUCUGUGUGAGUUCCGGGUGUUUCCGUGAGUUCCUGUGGUGGUUUCCGUGUGAAUUCCGGUUGUUUCCGUGUGAGUUCCGGUUGUUUUUGGGUGAAUUCCGGUUGUUUCCGUGUGAGUUCCUGUGGUGGUUUUUGGGUGAAUUCCGGCUGUUUCCGUGCGAGUUCCGGGUGUUUCCGCGAGCUCCGGCUGUUCCUGGGCUGCCCCCGCAGCCGGGGGGCUCGCGGGGUCCCUCUGAGCGCGCCGUUGCCGGGCAGGUGGCGCGGGCCGGGCGUUUCGGCACCAAGGGCUUGGCCAUCACCUUCGUGUCGGACGAGAACGACGCCAAAAUCCUCAACG
Molecule: long non-coding RNA, 822 nt
Filed under: Cyanistes caeruleus (blue tit)
Lineage: Eukaryota; Metazoa; Chordata; Aves; Passeriformes; Paridae
Description: lncRNA (ENSCCEG00000003987.1)
Source: RNAcentral